This 1014-nucleotide ribosomal RNA is filed under the name Mycobacterium sp. IP20010510. RNAcentral's name for it is "bacterial SSU rRNA". It matches the Rfam family "Bacterial small subunit ribosomal RNA", at positions 8 to 1036 of the family's 1533-position model. Lineage: Bacteria; Bacillati; Actinomycetota; Actinomycetes; Mycobacteriales; Mycobacteriaceae. The record is from RNAcentral.
GAGAGUUUGAUCCUGGCUCAGGACGAACGCUGGCGGCGUGCUUAACACAUGCAAGUCGAACGGAAAGGCCCCUUCGGGGGUACUCGAGUGGCGAACGGGUGAGUAACACGUGGGUAAUCUGCCCUGCACUUCGGGAUAAGCCUGGGAAACUGGGUCUAAUACCGAAUAUGACCACGAGGCGCAUGCCUUGUGGUGGAAAGCUUUUGCGGUGUGGGAUGGGCCCGCGGCCUAUCAGCUUGUUGGUGGGGUGACGGCCUACCAAGGCGACGACGGGUAGCCGGCCUGAGAGGGUGUCCGGCCACACUGGGACUGAGAUACGGCCCAGACUCCUACGGGAGGCAGCAGUGGGGAAUAUUGCACAAUGGGCGCAAGCCUGAUGCAGCGACGCCGCGUGGGGGAUGACGGCCUUCGGGUUGUAAACCUCUUUCAGCAGGGACGAAGCGCAAGUGACGGUACCUGCAGAAGAAGCACCGGCCAACUACGUGCCAGCAGCCGCGGUAAUACGUAGGGUGCGAGCGUUGUCCGGAAUUACUGGGCGUAAAGAGCUCGUAGGUGGUUUGUCGCGUUGUUCGUGAAAACCGGGGGCUUAACCCUCGGCGUGCGGGCGAUACGGGCAGACUGGAGUACUGCAGGGGAGACUGGAAUUCCUGGUGUAGCGGUGGAAUGCGCAGAUAUCAGGAGGAACACCGGUGGCGAAGGCGGGUCUCUGGGCAGUAACUGACGCUGAGGAGCGAAAGCGUGGGGAGCGAACAGGAUUAGAUACCCUGGUAGUCCACGCCGUAAACGGUGGGUACUAGGUGUGGGUUGGCUUCCUUGGAAUCCGUGCCGUAGCUAACGCAUUAAGUACCCCGCCUGGGGAGUACGGCCGCAAGGCUAAAACUCAAAGGAAUUGACGGGGGCCCGCACAAGCGGCGGAGCAUGUGGAUUAAUUCGAUGCAACGCGAAGAACCUUACCUGGGUUUGACAUGCACAGGACGCUGGUAGAGAUACCAGUUCCCUUGUGGCCUGUGUGCA